GUGGGGAAUAUUGGACAAUGGGCGAAAGCCUGAUCCAGCCAUGCCGCGUGUGUGAAGAAGGUCUUCGGAUUGUAAAGCACUUUAAGUUGGGAGGAAGGGCAUUAACCUAAUACGUUAGUGUUUUGACGUUACCGACAGAAUAAGCACCGGCUAACUUCGUGCCAGCAGCCGCGGUAAUACGAAGGGUGCAAGCGUUAAUCGGAAUUACUGGGCGUAAAGCGCGCGUAGGUGGUUCGUUAAGUUGGAUGUGAAAGCCCCGGGCUCAACCUGGGAACUGGAUCCAAAACUGGCGAGCUAGAGUACGGUAGAUGGUGGUGGAAUUUCCUGUGUAGCGGUGAAAUGCGUAGAUAUAGGAAGGAACACCAGUGGCGAAGGCGACCACCUGGACUGAUACUGACACUGAGGUGCGAAAGCGUGGGGAGCAAACAGGAUUAGAUACCCGAGUAGUCC
Molecule: ribosomal RNA, 450 nt
Filed under: uncultured bacterium
Lineage: Bacteria
Description: partial 16S ribosomal RNA
Rfam family: Bacterial small subunit ribosomal RNA
Source: RNAcentral